This 843-nucleotide ribosomal RNA is filed under the name Triticum aestivum (bread wheat). Its description in RNAcentral is "partial small subunit ribosomal RNA". The record is from RNAcentral. Lineage: Eukaryota; Viridiplantae; Streptophyta; Magnoliopsida; Poales; Poaceae.
AUGGGACGCAGCUACUGCCGCCGGCAAAAGGCGAGGUCAAAAGCACCAGCGGUGUGGAGCCCAUGUUGCGGCAGCCCGGAUGCCAGCUCUGUUCGGCUCUUGCGGCCGCUAGCUAGCCAAGAUAGCUUCUUCCAGCUGCUUGUCUGCAAGACCGGCCAUCUGGCUCGAGCGAAGGCCAGCGCGGCGGCUUGCUCGCUCGUGAGUCACGCUCGGGCCAGCCUGCCAACCCGUGCGGAGGCCAGCGCGGCGUCCGGCCCAUCCGGCGGAGCAGCGGCCAACUCGCUCAUCACCGGCGCCACCGAUGAACACGCAUCAGUACUGUUUGAAGUAAUGUUCAGGAAAAAUAAUGAUUUGACGGGAAAUAAAAGGAUAGAAAUCCUGACAUGGUUCGGGCUCAAGUCAAAAGAAGAAAAAACAAACUUCGGUCCACUAGAUGGUUCCAGCUUCCAAAGCAACAAAGCAUGGCACCUGGCCUCCUCAAGCUUCAUGCGAUCUUGCCGGUGGACCGAUGGUGAGGAUGCUGUAGCGGGACAGGAACGUUGCAGCGUGGCUGUAUGGCCGGUGACUCACGAUGGCAGCGGCACGAUCAACUCAAGUCAAGGGGCCAACGCGAUGGAGCAUAACAGAAACACACACCAAAAGCACAAUGGCGUACAAGAAGCUUGGCGACUUGACAAUAGGACGACAAAAGUGAACAUUCAAGUGAAAGUAAUGAGAAUGUGGGACUCACACAAUUCAACAAUUGAUGGCCUUAUGACCCUCAGUAUGAUCUUGAUGAAUGAAAAGGGUCAAAGAAUUCAUGCUACUAUCAGGAAGACUCUGGAUUUGGUGUUCACCGCAUAG